AUGUAUUUAAGAGUAAACUUUCAAUGCUUCUACCAAAUCAAAGUAGAGCUUAACAGCAAAGUUCUACCCUUCAUCUUCUACCCAUGGAGCAUUUUGCACCAAGAUACUGCAAAGCAAAUACAACUUCCUGGAAUGUAUACAGGCACCUUGAAUGCUGAAGUCUUACUGUUAAGUUAGUAUUUUACCUGCAGUGCUCUUUGAAUUCUACUUGAAGUACAUAUCCAGUACCAGGUUAUUGUGAUUCAUUUUUUUUAUUCAUGCUCCUUUUUAUUGAAAUACUUUUUCUAAAGAGUUCAUGUGUGAAUUCUUGUCAGUACUUGAAGUUUUUUUGUAUUUAUUUCUGUAGGUUUUUUGUUUCUCCUUGUUGUGGCCUUGGGGAAAGGUGACUCAGAAUAUAUGGGAAGGCACUUUGAAAUUUGAAGUUACUUAGCAGUGCUGAGUCUGCAGUAGCAAAGUGCUGCAAGAGGCAGAUUCAAAACUGAAGAUCUUCUGGGGGGGAAGCUGGCAGCUGUUAAUUUUCACCUAUGACUUAAUUUACGAUUUAAGUAGCAGUGUUGGUCUGUGUUUGGCCUGAGCUGUGGGAGAUGAUGCUGGAAUAAUAUGAUGCUGUUCUUUCUGUAGCUCUACCUGGAGUUGUACCUUCUCAUUUGCACUACUUGCAGUAUUCGUGGAUGUUGAGUACAUAUUUAUUCUCUAAAACUGAUUCCACUUGAAGCUUCAUUCUCUUAGGAAUCAGUAACUCACCCUUGCAUAUUUUUGUUUCACCUCUUGAAGGUGAGGAGAGAAGAAAGUAGCUUCUACUGUGGUCCUGGCUUUGUUUAUGUUAAACAUGAAUAUACAAAAAAAAAAAAAUUAGAAAAUUCAGCCUCAUAAAACUUUCCUGGUUGUCCAGAGAGGUUGAGGAGUUAGUUCCUAAGUUCUCAAGUAUAUUUUAAGCAUGUCUAAAAGUGCUUGAUGUUUUAUGCACCAAUUAAUAGAGUAUUGAAGUCACUUUAAUAUCUACAAGAUAAGAAAGCAUGUGUUGCCCCUCAGAUAAUGCAAGAUCUGAUGAGAGCUUUACCAUAGCAAUGGUUUUCUAUAAGUAGGUAGAAAAAACAAAUUCCUAGAAAACAUAGUAUAAUAGUCAACACAGUGAGACAAAUCCUUUUGUUGCUCUGGUUCUUAGCAUUCUUGUGCUUUACUUACUAUCUUUAUCUAAAGAUAAUAACGAUAAUCUUCAUGUAAGCCAAGUUGUAAAGGGAAUAAAUGCAUUACACAAAAUGAGUAAAUCCGUCUG
Molecule: long non-coding RNA, 1276 nt
Filed under: Anser cygnoides (Swan goose)
Lineage: Eukaryota; Metazoa; Chordata; Aves; Anseriformes; Anatidae
Description: lncRNA (ENSACDG00005008201.1)
Source: RNAcentral